Molecule: unclassified non-coding RNA, 1338 nt
Filed under: uncultured Neocallimastigales
Lineage: Eukaryota; Fungi; Neocallimastigomycota; Neocallimastigomycetes; Neocallimastigales
Description: partial contains internal transcribed spacer 1, 5.8S ribosomal RNA, internal transcribed spacer 2, and large subunit ribosomal RNA
Rfam family: Eukaryotic large subunit ribosomal RNA (bases 581-1338)
Source: RNAcentral
AAAAUAAUCCUACCCUUGUGAAUUUUGUUUGUUUGAAUAAUUUUUUUUUUAAAAAUUAUUGGAGUCUUUCCCUUUAGAGUUGCUUUGAGUUGUAAAAGAAUUCGAAAACAUCUAAAGGGGAUGGUCAAUAAUUUUUUUUGAAAAAGACAUUUUUAAAAUUAAACUUUUUGUAUUCAUUGUCUAAAAAUUAUUUUAUAAUAUAAAAACACUUUUGACAAUGAUCUCUUGGUUCUCGCAACGAUGAAGAACGCAGCAAAAUGCGAUAAGUAGUGUGAAUUGCAGAAUUCGUGAAUCAUCGAAUCUUUGAACGCAUAUUGCACUUUUUUAGUCUACUAAAAAAGUAUGUCUGUUUGAGUAUCAGUAAAAUAUUCUCAUAAAAUCAUUGUAUUUUUAUGGUUAUGAGUGUUUUACAACGAUACAAGUUGUUUCACUUUAAAUUUUUUUUUAAUAUUGAAAUUUUUUCUAAUUUUAAUAAUUAAAUUGGAUAAAAUUUUCCGUCAAAAGGAAUAACCUAAACAAUUUUAAAUGAUUAAUUUUAGCAAAAUUUUCGUAAAAAAGGAAAAUUUUUAUUAAAAUAACUUGAUCUCAAAUCAGAUAAGAGUACCCGCUGAACUUAAGCAUAUCAACAAGCGGAGGAAAAGAAACUAACAAGGAUUCCUUAGUAACGGCGAGUGAAGCGGGAAGAGCUCAAAUUUGAAAUCUUCAAGGUUUUACCUUGACGAAUUGUAGUUUAAAGAAGUGUUUUCUGCUGAAGUUUGGUAAAAGUUCUUUGGAAUAGGACAUCAUAGAGGGUGAGAAUCCCGUAUUUGACCAUUAUUUCAGCUUUGUGAUACACUUUCAAAGUGUCGGAUUGUUUGGGAAUGCAGUCCAAAAUGGGUGGUAAAUUUCAUCUAAAGCUAAAUAUUGGCGAGAGACCGAUAGCGAACAAGUACGUGAGGGAAAGAUGAAAAGAACUUUGAAAAGAGAGUUAAACAGUACGUGAAAUUGUCAAAAGGGAAGCGUUUGACACCAGUGUUGUUUUCUCGAAAAUCAAUUAAAAAUGGCUCGAUUUGUAUUGCUGAGACCUUAAAAGCUCACUGUACAUUUUUCGUGUCUUUUUUAAUGCACUUUUCGUUUAACAAGUCAACAUCAGUUUCUUUUGUUGUAAAAGGGUCAUUGGAAGGUGGCUUCUUUUCGGAGAAAGUGUUUAUAGCCUUUGGCCUCUGCAAUCGAAGAGACUGAGGUCUGCAGCGUAGACUCUUCGGGUUAGAUACAUUUGUGCUAAGUUAUAGCUUUUUAUAGACAACUUGUUGACUAUAAUUAGUCUUGUAGCUUACUCGCUUAUGCUAUUUUACCUAC